RNAcentral lists this ribosomal RNA (423 nucleotides) under uncultured Chroococcales cyanobacterium. RNAcentral's name for it is "bacterial SSU rRNA". It matches the Rfam family "Bacterial small subunit ribosomal RNA", at positions 355 to 794 of the family's 1533-position model. The record is from RNAcentral. Lineage: Bacteria; Bacillati; Cyanobacteriota; Cyanophyceae; Chroococcales.
UGGGGAAUUUUCCGCAAUGGGCGAAAGCCUGACGGAGCAAUACCGCGUGAGGGAGGAAGGCUCUUGGGUUGUAAACCUCAAAACUUAGGGAAGAAAAAAAUGACGGUACCUAAUGUAAGCGUCGGCUAACUCCGUGCCAGCAGCCGCGGUAAUACGGAGGAUGCAAGCGUUAUCCGGAAUCAUUGGGCGUAAAGAGUCCGUAGGUGGCACUUCAAGUCUGCUUUCAAAGACCGAAGCUAAACUUCGGAAAGGGAGUGGAAACUGAAGAGCUAGAGUAUAGUAGGGGUAGAGGGAAUUCCUAGUGUAGCGGUGAAAUGCGUAGAGAUUAGGAAGAACACCAGUGGCGAAGGCGCUCUACUGGGCAUAUACUGACACUGAGGGACGAAAGCUAGGGGAGCGAAAGGGAUUAGAUACCCCUGUAGU